Molecule: ribosomal RNA, 495 nt
Filed under: uncultured bacterium
Lineage: Bacteria
Description: partial 16S ribosomal RNA
Rfam family: Bacterial small subunit ribosomal RNA
Source: RNAcentral
GACGAACGCUGGCGGCGUGCCUAAUACAUGCAAGUAGAACGCUGAAGGAGGAGCUUGCUUCUCUGGAUGAGUUGCGAACGGGUGAGUAACGCGUAGGUAACCUGCCUGGUAGCGGGGGAUAACUAUUGGAAACGAUAGCUAAUACCGCAUAAGAGUAGAUGUUGCAUGACAUUUACUUAAAAGGUGCAAUUGCAUCACUACCAGAUGGACCUGCGUUGUAUUAGCUAGUUGGUGGGGUAACGGCUCACCAAGGCGACGAUACAUAGCCGACCUGAGAGGGUGAUCGGCCACACUGGGACUGAGACACGGCCCAGACUCCUACGGGAGGCAGCAGUAGGGAAUCUUCGGCAAUGGACGGAAGUCUGACCGAGCAACGCCGCGUGAGUGAAGAAGGGUGUCGGAUCGGAAAGCUCUGUUGUAAGAGAAGAACGAGUGUGAGAGUGGAAAGUUCACACUGUGACGGUAGCUUACCAGAAAGGGACGGCUAACUACGUG